Molecule: ribosomal RNA, 463 nt
Filed under: uncultured bacterium
Lineage: Bacteria
Description: partial 16S ribosomal RNA
Rfam family: Bacterial small subunit ribosomal RNA
Source: RNAcentral
GAUGAACGCUGACAGAAUGCUUAACACAUGCAAGUCGAUGGGGAAGUGGUGCUUGCACCAUGGCAACCAUGGCGGACGGGUGAGUAACGCGUAAGGGACUUACCUGCAGGACUGGGAUAACAGGGGGAAACUCCUGACAAGACCGGAUAAUGUCAUGGAGCUGCAUGGCUUUAUGAUGAAAGGAGACGCCUGCGGAGAGCCUUGCGUCCUAUUAGCUAGUUGGUGAGGUAAUGGCUCACCAAGGCGAAGAUAGGUAGCCGGCCUGAGAGGGUGGACGGCCACAAGGGGACUGAGAUACGGCCCUUACUCCUACGGGAGGCAGCAGUGGAGAAUAUUGGACCAUGGGGGCAACCCUGAUCCAGCAAUUCUGUGUGCACGAAGAAGGUUUUCGGAUUGUAAAGUGCUUUCAGCAGGGAAGAAGUAAGUGACGGUACCUGCAGAAGAAGCGACGGCUAAAUACGUG